GUGUCAGCAGCCGCGGUAAUACAGAGGGUGCUAGCGUUAAUCGGAUUUACUGGGCGUAAAGCGUGUGUAGGCGGUUUGCUAAGUCGGAUGUGAAAGCCCUGGGCUCAACCUGGGAAUUGCAUUCGAUACUGGCAAGCUAGAGUACGGUAGAGGGUGGCGGAAUUCCGGGUGUAGCGGUGAAAUGCGUAGAUAUCCGGAGGAACACCGAUGGCGAAGGCAACCACCUGGGCCUGUACUGACGCUGAGACACGAAAGCGUGGGGAGCAAACAGGAUUAGAUACCCUGGUAGUCC
RNAcentral lists this ribosomal RNA (292 nucleotides) under uncultured bacterium. RNAcentral's name for it is "partial 16S ribosomal RNA". It matches the Rfam family "Bacterial small subunit ribosomal RNA", at positions 505 to 796 of the family's 1533-position model. The record is from RNAcentral.